GUAUUUGAACGAUAAUUAGGUACCUUUAUGGUUUAAAAGGGAAUUCGGUGAAAUGCCGAAGCUGUCCCCGCAACUGUAAGUGUGGACGACUGUUGAAAUAGCCACUGCGAGAAAUCGUGGGAAGGUCGACAGGAGGGUGAAGCAUGAGCCAGUAGACCUGCCUUUUCAUCGGUGAAGCA
Molecule: non-coding RNA, 179 nt
Filed under: Psychrobacillus sp. FJAT-21963
Lineage: Bacteria; Bacillati; Bacillota; Bacilli; Caryophanales; Bacillaceae
Also listed under: 1 other name
Source: RNAcentral